This 1507-nucleotide long non-coding RNA is filed under the name Capsella rubella. RNAcentral describes it as "long non-coding RNA (CRUB_LNC004101)". The record is from RNAcentral. Lineage: Eukaryota; Viridiplantae; Streptophyta; Magnoliopsida; Brassicales; Brassicaceae.
UUUCCAGAACAACAAAUCUCUUUCUAAUAUGGCAUCUUCUUGUUAGAAAUUAUUUUUGUCAUGCAUUUUUUGAGCACCAGAUACCCUAAACGAUAUCAACGUUCUUGAUUGCUCUCUAGCUUUUAAUGAUACAGUAUAUUAAAUGGUAUGGCUCUAACUGUGAAUUACUUUGUCAACGGCCGACAGUAUCAUUUGGGUUACAAUCUCAUUGAUGAUAUUUAUCCCAACUGGGCUACUUUUAUUCAAUCUAUUCCACUUCCACAGAGUGACAAAUAUGAUAGUACAAGACGAACGAGCUGAAUACACUCAGCUUGACACCGCAUAAUUCAAACUAAGUGAAGGAUAAAUACUUUGUGGAAGUUAAAUAGACUGGAUAAAAGUUGCCCUGUUGAUUUUGAUGUCAAAAAUCUUAUUUAUUUUUUUCCGUUAAACUUAGAUUGUUUGACAUACUUUCUUCUCCAAAUAACUAUAGGUAACGUACUUUCUUCUUCUUCUCUCUCUCUCUCUCUAUCCCUCUUAUUCCAUUCCUCAAUUCUUUUGUUACCAUGGUUGUUCAUCUAAAUUAUAAAGUACAAUUUAUCAUUUUUUAUCAAAUAAUAUGAUUUUAAUGUAUUUAAUUAAUUUAGAUAGCUAUUUAUUUAAUAGAGCAAAUCGAUAUGUGCAUUUACAAUAAUCUUUUUUGUUUUUUUUAUCAUAUAUCAUAUAUAUUAGUAUAUAUAUUUUUUUUACAGGAAUAUGAAAAAAAAAAUUGCAUCAAACUCAUAUGUUCUUAUAUGAUACGGGUAUAAAUAAAAUUUGUUUAAUGCAAAUUAUAAUCAUCAAAGUAAAUUUUGAUUUACAGUAGCAUUUUUUAUUUAUACAUUGUCUAAAGAAAACAUAAACGUAUAUGGUUUUUCUUAACCAUUGCUUUUUUUAUGACGUUUUACUUUUAGUAUUUAGUUUUCUUUUAAUUGUACUUAAAGUGUUUAUGUUGCAGCUUCUAAUAUUGAAUCUUCGAAAAGCUAUGGAGAUUAUCGUCAUCAUCUCCAAAAACUAAAAAUACAAGAUAUGCAUCCAAAUAUUAAUUAAUUAGUACUAAUUAUUAUCUAUGUACAUUUAAUUCAUGUUUUUUUUUUGCAACAACACACAUUUAAUCUAUGUUUAUUGGUUUAGAUUGCAAAUACUUUUCUUUGUACUUUUUGUUUUUUACUUUGUUACAAACAAAACUGAAAGUUUGUAAGAUUCUUCUCUUUCAUUUUAUCCCCUCUUUCAAGGGUAAAGAUCAUAUUGGACGAAAAUCAAAUUGAUGUAUCAAUACUCAACAAUAAGAAAGACUGAAUGUAUUUUACUAAUUUAAUUUGUUUAUUAUCAUAUUGUUUAUGAUUUCUAUAUUCAUUUUGGUUAUAAGAUAAAUAUUAUUCAAUUAGAAUAUCAUGAUGUUUUCAAGAAUAUACGGGUAGGUUUCAAACCCCACAAUUUUAUGGUAGAGCGUGUUAGGAUUAAUAUUUUUAUGAAUGUAAUUGACGAG